Molecule: ribosomal RNA, 440 nt
Filed under: uncultured bacterium
Lineage: Bacteria
Description: partial 16S ribosomal RNA
Rfam family: Bacterial small subunit ribosomal RNA
Source: RNAcentral
CCUACGGGUGACAGCAGUAGGGAAUAUUGCUCAAUGGAGGAAACUCUGAACCAGCAACGCCGCGUGGAGGAUGAAGGUCUUCGGAUUGUAAACUUCUUUUGUUAGGGAAGAUAAUGAUGGCAUCUAACGAAUAAUCACCGGCUAAUUCCGUGCCAGCAGCAGCGGUAAUACGGAGGGUGCAAGCGUUACUCGGAAUCACUGGGCGUAAAGGGCGCGUAGGGGGGAUAGCAAGUCAGAUGUGAAAUCCUAUGGCUUAACCAUAGAACUGCAUUUGAAACUGUUAUUCUAGAGUAUGGGAGAGGUAGGUGGAAUUCUUGGUGUAGCGGUAAAAUCCGUAGAGAUCAAGAGGAAUACUCAUUGCGAAGGCGACCUGCUAGAACAUAACUGACGCUGAUGCGCGAAAGCGUGGGGAGCAAACAGGAUUAGAUACCCGAGUAGUC